This 53-nucleotide microRNA precursor is filed under the name Marmota monax (woodchuck). The record is from RNAcentral. Lineage: Eukaryota; Metazoa; Chordata; Mammalia; Rodentia; Sciuridae.
UUUUUAGCCUAAGUAUAUUCUAUGCCACAUUUAGGACAUACUUAUGCCUAAAA